Molecule: unclassified non-coding RNA, 341 nt
Filed under: soil metagenome
Description: partial contains 5.8S ribosomal RNA, internal transcribed spacer 2, and large subunit ribosomal RNA
Rfam family: 5.8S ribosomal RNA (bases 1-120)
Source: RNAcentral
GAUGAAGAACGUAGCGAAAUGCGAUGAGUAAUGUGAAUUGCAGAAUUCAGUGAAUCAUCGAAUCUUUGAACGCACAUUGCGCCCGCCAGCAUUCUGGCGGGCAUGCCUGUUCGAGCGUCAUUUCAACCCUCGAGCCCCCCCGGGGGCCUCGGUGUUGGGGGACGGCACACCAGCCGCCCCCGAAAUGCAGUGGCGACCCCGCCGCAGCCUCCCCUGCGUAGUAGCACACACCUCGCACCGGAGCGCGGAGGCGGUCACGCCGUAAAACGCCCAACUUUCUUAGAGUUGACCUCGGAUCAGGUAGGAAUACCCGCUGAACUUAAGCAUAUCAUAAGCGAGGA